Molecule: RNA transcript, 975 nt
Organism: Alligator sinensis (Chinese alligator)
Lineage: Eukaryota; Metazoa; Chordata; Crocodylia; Alligatoridae
Exons: 2
Source: RefSeq, a predicted model, not a curated record
UUUGGGCAACAAUUGGGCGAGCCAGCCAGGAGACGCUCUCGGACUACCUUGGGGCUGGACGACAAGAUCGGGAAAAGGGGUCCGUGAAGUGCGCACCAGACCGCAUUUGGAGUCUGUCACGGGCACUGGAACCGUGAGUCGGGGCACCCGGGAAGUUAAAGGCUCUCCUUGUAUGAGUCACCCAGGCUGAGCGGGUCUGAAGAGACGGCGCCAGGGGUUCGGCAGAUCUGUUUUGUCUUCCCUACAUAGGUUUGCUGCACCCUUCCAGAGCCUCCCGCUUGAUACACCGAUCCACAACUUUAAACCGGGUGACCAAGUCCUGGAACAGAAGUGGAAGAAGAAUCCUCUCGCGGAAAGGUGGGAAGGACCAUACCAGGUGUUGUUGACUACACACACGGCUGUUCGUUUAAAAAACAAUGACAAGUGGACUCACUGUUUGAGGGUAAAGCUUUUUCGUCAGGAGAACACCAACUCCCAGGGUGUGGUCACUCCGAAAGCUGAUAACACCCGGGAACAAAAAGCCGACAAGUGGACAAGUGAACCAGUAGGAGAUCUGAAGCUAUGUUUGCAAAAAUGCGAACCCUAGUCUUAACACUCUUGUCUCUUUUAGGUACAUCAAACCCAGCGGCUGUGUCAGCCUGUUCAUAGGCAGUCUUAGAGAAGGGAAUAGUAUCGCAUUUCUCACGUUUGCAGCAGUCAAAGUCCUUAAUUUCUAAAGCCUACUUAUUUCCCAUUUCCUACUGCUGCCCUCAGCAAGAGAUUAUGAUAGAAUUCGUGGUCACCAUAGGCCACAAGGUUAGGUGUGUCAAGAUGAACCAGGCACUCUGGAAGACAAUCCUCAAAUAUCGACCUUCAAGUCUCCAACCUGUUCCCACCAAUGUAAGUGGCCCCUCAAUUACUGCCAUUUCAAAACGUGAGGGCCCACCUAUAAACCCAUGGGUGGGAAAUUCCUGGGUAACCCUCCUCAGAGACUCA